GAGCCCGAGGGUGAGGAGAGAGAGAGGGAUGUCUCCGAGGCGCAGGGCGCAGAAGACCCCCUCGCUAAUUGACUUGUAUAUAUUUUAUUUUUGAAAUGAAUUGAAGUCUCUUAUGUUCAAAUUUCAUGAUGAGAUCAGAAAGCGUCCAAACCAAACUGUCUAAGUACUUAAUUGAUUGAAGUUGAACAUUAAACCAGAGAGCGACUAUUAAUCAAAAGAU
Molecule: unclassified non-coding RNA, 220 nt
Filed under: Hevea brasiliensis (rubber tree)
Lineage: Eukaryota; Viridiplantae; Streptophyta; Magnoliopsida; Malpighiales; Euphorbiaceae
Source: RNAcentral